CGUGACGUCACCACGUGAUGCUACCGUCGUUGCCAUGGUGACGCGGUACAACACGCUGCCAUGGUGGUCGCUUUUGUUGUACGCGUCACCAUGGCAACGACUGUAGCGUCACAUGGUGACGUCACA
Non-coding RNA from Pelobates cultripes (western spadefoot toad), 126 nucleotides. Lineage: Eukaryota; Metazoa; Chordata; Amphibia; Anura; Pelobatidae. The record is from the annotation of a GenBank genome assembly.